AGAAUGAGAUUGAGCCAAGGAUGACUUGCCGAUUUUACAAACAAAUCUUUAACCGGUUUUGGUGUUCGGCAAGUUGACCUUGGCUUUGUUUCCUUCUCU
Non-coding RNA from Arabis alpina (gray rockcress), 99 nucleotides. The record is from Rfam. Lineage: Eukaryota; Viridiplantae; Streptophyta; Magnoliopsida; Brassicales; Brassicaceae.